This 253-nucleotide ribosomal RNA is filed under the name uncultured bacterium. RNAcentral's name for it is "partial 16S ribosomal RNA". It matches the Rfam family "Bacterial small subunit ribosomal RNA", at positions 524 to 776 of the family's 1533-position model. The record is from RNAcentral.
UACGAAGGGGGCUAGCGUUGUUCGGAUUUACUGGGCGUAAAGCGCACGUAGGCGGAUUGGUCAGUUAGAGGUGAAAUCCCGAAGCUCAACUUCGGAACUGCCUUUAAUACUGCCAGUCUAGAGUCCGGAAGAGGUAAGUGGAACUCCUAGUGUAGAGGUGGAAUUCGUAGAUAUUAGGAAGAACACCAGUGGCGAAGGCGGCUUACUGGUCCGGUACUGACGCUGAGGUGCGAAAGCGUGGGGAGCGAACAGG